RNAcentral lists this ribosomal RNA (485 nucleotides) under uncultured bacterium. RNAcentral describes it as "bacterial SSU rRNA". It matches the Rfam family "Bacterial small subunit ribosomal RNA", at positions 28 to 507 of the family's 1533-position model. The record is from RNAcentral.
GAUGAACGCUAGCGGGAGGCUUAACACAUGCAAGUCGAGGGGCAGCAUAGGGUAGCAAUACUCUGAUGGCGACCGGCAAACGGGUGAGUAACGCGUAUGCAACCUACCCUGUACAGGGGGAUAACCCGGAGAAAUUCGGACUAAUAUCCCGUAAUAAUAUCCGGAGGCAUCUUUGGAUAUUUAAAGUUCCGACGGUACGGGAUGGGCAUGCGUAACAUUAGCUGGUUGGUAAGGUAACGGCUUACCAAGGCUAUGAUGUUUAGGGGUCCUGAGAGGGUGGUCCCCCAACUGGUACUGAGACACGGACCAGACUCCUACGGGAGGCAGCAGUGAGGAAUAUUGGUCAAUGGGCGCAAGCCUGAACCAGCCAUCCCGCGUGCAGGAAGACGGCCCUAUGGGUUGUAAACUGCUUUUCCAGGGAGAGAAACUUACGCACGUGUUGCGUGACUGACGGUACCUGGGAAUAAGCAUCGGCUAACUCCGUG